GAGUGGGCAGCCUCCAGGUGCCUGAUUGCGGCAGCCAUUUUGAGGCCUAUAUAAACCAGGCAGUUUGGCUGCAGGAGGUCAGGCAGCAACAUCGCCUGGUCUUAGGGCUGCUGUGAACGACCCGGAGGUAAGGGGGAGCUGCAAGGGGAUGGCAGGAGGCUCCUGGUCCUGGGCAUGACCUGAAACUGCACCCUGCCGGGAGUAGGUGGUCUGGUGGGGCUCUCAGUGGUGCGGGAGCCCCCAGGAAAUGCCAGGCCAGUGAUCACCCCGGUGAAAGGCGGGUCGGGGCGCCUUAACCCCUAGCUCCCACCACCACCGGGUGGGUGACCCCUGAGUUGGAUGAGGGCCAAGAGGGCCAGUGUUAUGAGGGCCGAGAGGGCCCGUGUGUGUGAGGGGCCCAGAGAGGGCGGACCCCGAGAGUGGGAGUGAUGUGGGCGAGGUGCCGCGGUUGCUUCUAGGAGGAAGGGAGUGGUGGCACGGUGAGGCCCGAGGAGUAGAGUGAGUGGCUAGAAAGACCCAGCCCGAAGGGGAGAGUCCCCUCGACUGGCCCAUGCUGGGGCCAGGACCAGUGAGGGUCAAAAGGGCCGGGGGCCCACCGCGAGGGACGCCCAAGAGCCGGGGGCCUGGGGUCCCGACUGGCCUGGAGGUGGGCCAGGGCUGGUAGCCGAAGGUUCCGGGGGAACCACACCCGAGAGGGGAACAAGGCUUCGGGAGGGUGAGGUAGCCCAGAUGACGGCGGAGUGGCCGCCUGAGGAGAGAAGACUAUAGUGGGGUCGCGUAGGAGAUUCUGGGGCCCAGCGUGGGGCCGGUGAGAUGUUGAACACCAUGAUGCCAUCUGCGAGGCUUGGGCUGGGGUAUUAGGGGAGGUCGGAGCCGCAGAGCGCCCCUGGGCAUCGGGGCAGUCGAAGGGCAGCCUCCCGCUUAAUUAACAUCAUAAUUGAACUCAGUAUCAUCAAAGGCGUGGCGGGCGAGAUGAGCGGGCGGUUGCCCAGAGACAGGUGGGCGGGCCAUGAAGAGCUCGGCCCUGAGUAGGCCUGCUGUCACGGUGACAGGCGGGCGGGCCACAGAGCUCGGCCCCGGGAGGCCCCCUGUCACAAUGCUGCACACUUCACAUGACAACUUGUAUAACCACAAGGCAGCCUCACAGCUUGAAAUGAACCCUGGGCUGCUCUGAAAAAAAAUUCAACAAGACUAUUUAGCUGCUAAAAAGAUGCAGUUCCCAAUUCUCAUGAUGAACUGAACAGGCAGCUACUAACUAAGCAGCUGUUUCUUCCUCUACAAUGGCUGUUCACCACGACUGAUUCAAGGCAGCGCCAAAGGAUAGAGCCAAACAGAGCCAAGCACCCUCUAUGCUCAAGGAGGCCCCAGCCCAAGACCAGGAACCCACCAGGCUACAAGCUGAACCGUUGCUGUCGGCAGUCCCUCGGAGUCGAGGACGACGUCCAUCAGGCUUGGGUCCUGGGGUGAGAACUGGAAGAGAGCAAAUUCAGAUUGGACAUCAGGAACAAAUUCUUUACAGUGAGGGCUGCUGUCCUCUUCCUUGGAGGUAUUUAAAAGGAGACUGGACAGACACCUGGCUGGGGUCAUCUGACCCCCAGCACUCAUUCCUGCCCAGGGCAGGGGGUCGAACUCAAUGACCCCUCCAACCCGAACAUCUAUGAAACUAUACUGAACAAACCUGUAAGAACAGACAGUCCCUUUCCUGAAGAGGUUAGUCUUGGACAAGAAAUGGAGGGAGAGGGGAAACAUCUUAGUGGUGUAAAUUCACAGUGACCCAGCAGGUCAGGAGCAGCGCACAGGUCUCCAGAUUUCUGUUCCAAGUAUGGUCUUGCUGUCGGUCCAGGUUGCCAUCCUAUGUAUAUUCUUUUACAGAUCUAUAUUUUGAAUACAGAAAGUUUUAUACUCCCGCAUGAUGAUUAGAAUCCAGUAAAGACUGAUUCCUUGGUGGUCGGCAUUAUGGGAACCCUGUAACCACCUUGUUUUAGGUAAAAGAAAUGCGGUAGAAGUUAAGCAGGCAACAUGCAUACCAGCCCUCUCUGAUCCAGACGAUUGGGAGCAGAAAAGGGUUGGGUUAGAAAAGGAGUUUUGGAACCACCAAAGAAUGGUGUUUUGCACCUGUUAGCAGUAGUGUUGCACUACGACACAAAGGAGGAACCCUGGGAAGGAACUACCAGGAGGUUAGAUAGUCUUGGGAGAAAGCUGCGCUUCUUGGCCCAGACUCUGACCAACUAACACCACUCAGUUUAGUUAUGUCCUAUUGUGUUGCCAUAGGAGAAGGACUCCUGGUUUGAACCAGAACCGCUCUGUUCUAGGCCAUGUACUAACACAACAUGAAAACAGUAGCUCUCAUCCUACAAGAGGGUCCAGGCUAGCCAUAAGGGAAGAAAGAAUCUGUGCAAGUUAGAGAAGCAAAAUUUCUGCACUUGGCGCUGAUUGUAUUUUACAGGCAAUCUGGAAGGUCUUACAGGAAUCACUGGAGUAGUCCCUGUUUAUCAGGGAAAAAAAAGAUAGCAGGAUAUAGCUCUUACUACAUCUCAGCACACCUAAGAUCCUGACAGCUAUGAAUUUCAGUGGCUGGCAGAUCCUCACCUCAGCCCUUUGCUAACUCCUGCUAGUGCCUGGUUGUCCUUUGCUGUUUUUCCAAUAAAAUGCCCCUGAGACAAUGCAUGGUGUAAUUUCAAAGUGAGAGCAUCUUUCAUAACAAAAUGAAAACAGGGUAGAUCCACAAAUGGCAAAGUACUAACACAACCUGUGGAUAAGGAUGGAUGACACCAUUGGAAGAAACCAGGAAGUUGCUGGUGUGGGGCACAAGCAGGAGCAAGUGGUUGAACCAGUGCUUAAAAUCGACUAGUGGCAGAGAGUCAUGUUGCGUAGUGGGCCAGAAGAACAUAGCAAAGCAGAUGAUGAAAAAGAAGGGGCUACAUGCCAAGUGGUUGCCAAGAACAUUUUUUUUUUUCUUCACUGGAGGUUGAAUCAGAGACCUGGAUUAAGAAUAUGCAAAACUAUUGAUUCUUGCUAAGCAAGAUGCUCACAAUCCAUCUAGCAAUCCUUGAGCAAAAUGGUCCCUUCAUCUUCACCAUUCUUAAGAAAAGGACUCCAAUAACGUUUGCAUCUCCUUCUUGUCUUUCUCUGCCCAUACUCAACAUCUCAUGCCCAAUCACCAUGUGACUGAACCUGCACAGGUUCCUAGACUGAUUUAAUUAGUUUAGCCUGUUUAAAUGAAUAAAUAGUCUAAGUUUUUAACCUGUGGUCCCCUGGGGGUCCACAGACUAUGGGCACAGACAGAAGUGAUAAUUUUCACUCGACCUGGCCCCUGAAAGUGCUUUACAGCCAUGACCUAACACAAAUGCAUGGCUGCAAAGUGCUUUAAAAGGGCCCGAUCCUGUGACAAUCUGAACCCUUGUUAUGUGAGGGGUCAGAUGAAGGUAAGCGCUCCAGAGUGCAACGCCUUCAUUAACUUGUGUCUGCACAUCCCAGGAGCAGGGCCACGCUGACGAAGCCCAGCCCUGCUCCUGGUGCUGUUUUCAGAAUGGAGGACAGGGGAACAGAGGAAGCUCAUUCUGGGGGUUGCCCAGCCAGCACUGGAGGGUGGGUCAGGUGGCUUGGAGCCCACUCCCCCGAGGUGGAAGGCUCCAAUCCACCUCCCUCCCCCCAAUUCCAGCAUAGGCCAGGGAACAGAACAGGCCUUCCUCCCAUCCUGAGACAGCACCAGGGGCUGGGAGAGGGGGUGGGUAGGGCUAGGGGAACAGGCUGCAGAGAUGCAGCCUCUCUCCUUGGAUUGGCUCCAAAUUGGAACUUGAUCCCCCACCCUCCUGACCCAAGAGCUAAUGUUUGUUGGGUCAGGAGGACUGGUCUAACUCAUGGCAGUUUCUGUGAAGCGCCAUGAGUUAGACUCAGAAGCUGCACUUCUGUCUGUGUCCUGUGUCUAAGAGAUCUGUGAAAGAUGACUGUGAUUAAUCAAAAAUAUGUGAAUACCCACAUUUAUAGUCAAAGGAGUCCGUACCUCCAUUUGAAAUCUCCAAAGGGGUCUGCAAAUGAAAAAUGGUUGAAAACCACUGGUUAAACAAAAUGUCUUGGAACUACAGGUGGUUCUUUAUUCCCUCCGCCCUGGUUCACUGGUGGCCUGUCCAGUACCCAUAUGUAUUGCUAUUACCCAUCAUAAAUGCCCUUUGUUCAUGCAGUUUGUACAAGAUUAAAUUAUGCUACUAAGCUUCUUUUCCACAGGCAACAGACACGUAUUUGUUGCGACUUGUGGUGCAAUAGUAUCUGCAGGGCCCAGGCAAAGACAAGCUGCAUGUCAUUAAGAUCCAGGCACUUAAACUUUGAUCCUCACAAGUACUUAGGUACAUAACUCCCAUGGAAAUAAAAGCAUGUUAGGUGUUGAGACUCUGGGCAUUAGUUUACUUGAGGUUCUGAAAUUCCCAAUGCAAACAACCUGCCAGAAGGCCUGUGGCAGAGCCAAGAAAACAAUCCAUGCUCCAUUGUUUUAGGCUAUCCCCACAAACAUCCUCUCUCCCCCGGCCUGGACUGGAGUAGCUAGCAAACAACAAAGCCAGACACUUAAGCUGAUGUCCAGUUUCAGCAGACAAGUCUCAUUUUGCAGCUUGAGUGGUUAAAAAAACCUGACAGUGCUUGCAGAAUGAUGAUGUUUCACUUUCUUUUUUUACUGAGAUUUUUUUCAGGCACAAAGAUUUCUCUCUCACAGGCAAUUUCCUGAAUGUUUAGACAAAUCCCUCCAACAUGGCAGCAUUUGAUCACUCCUCAGCGGCCGCUGGAGAACUUGCAUGAACCUGUUGAGGGCUUUCUUCUAGCCUCAAACCCUCAUUUGCAGUUAGCAAGAGGUGAAGUGGAGUUUGUUGAAGAAGCAACAGCAAGAAAAUCCAAUACACUCUUGAUUAGAUUAGCUAGACACCAGAAGCUUAACCCAGAACAUUAAAAGGAGCCAGCUUUUUCCUUUCUCUCCCUUUUUUUCAGGUUCUUGGGUGCCUAAAUAUGAAGAUGGCACCUAGAGGGAUUUUUGAAACUGUGGUAGUGCCUAACUGCAAUGAUUUAAUCACUGUAAGUCCCUGAUCUGUAUCUUUAGCUGUAUCUGCCAGCUUUAGUAUAACAAGAGAAAUUCUAUAGUUGGACCUGAGUGAUUCACACCCAAGUGUACCAAUGCAAAGGUUUAUCUGCAGUAAGCCACUGGAAUGGUACCAGAAAUGUGAAUUCAAUCAAACCGGGAGCAUCUGAGAAGUCCCAUUAUCUUCCAAAUAAAUUACAUUAAAAUGAGUGUAGUCAUCUGAGGAAAUAAAUCUAAUGUUCGUCUCAACAGAGGAGGGGUUUAGACUCCAUUCUGAGCGAAAUCAGUAAUGGCAGUGCUGAUCAGUCAGCACAUCAAUCCUCCCCAGCAGUGAGUCACAGCAAGCCAAAUGUCUCCUUGGUAUAACUCUGUCAAAGUCAACAAAGUUACACCAGGGAUCUUUUGAAACCAUAGGCUGGAUCCAUAUGUGCAGGAGCUUGUAGUUUGUGGUGCUGCAAACCUCUGCGCCAUGCCACAAACUGCACAAUUUGCACCUUAAUCAGCGCACAGCACUGCUACCUUGCAGCACCGGGGCAAAAUUUGCUAGGGGAAAAAAAACCUGGGAAAAAGUGGCACAAACCACACCAAAGUGGCAGGCGCAGGGUCAAAUGCAGAAAUGGGGGAGCAGGCAACCCAUCUCUGCAUGCUGUGGAGCAGCCCAUGCUGAGGCACCCCUUGUCCCAGCCAGCCACUCCCUUGCUGGCUGGGACGCAGGGUGCCUCAAGACAGGGGAGCAGGCAGCCCUGGGUUGGCUGCUCCCCUGUCUGCAGGGGCUCAGCACAGGGGCUCCACUGCAGACCCCCCACACGGACGCACACUGCACCCCAGGCCGUUGCAAAGCAGAUGCCCCCAGCACAUGGGACAAUGUGUCCUGCUGCAAAGCACAUGGGCAGGGACGUGCACUGCGGCACAAAGGAGCAUCACAAAUUUGUGCUACUACAAUGCAUGCUGCUGGAAAGGCACGCCCCUGCUCGUGUGGACAUGACCUUAGUCUUCAACCUCCCUAGCAGAAAGCCCAUGCAAAUGCUUCUUUUCCUUUGGAGAAACUCCCUUCUCAGAAACAAGUUGCUUUAUCAAUGCCCAGCAUUUGCCUUGUCCUCACGCCCUUGGAGUUGCAGAGGAACCCACCAACACAAAUAAUAAAUCACAGACUUCAUGUAAAAACUUCCCUGGCUGUUGAAACUCUUCACCAGUGCCACUCACUCUGUAAGACAGACAGCAUUCCUCACGUCUCGGAUGUGAAGCUGGAGAUUGACCAGUGGCCUGUUUAAUGAUGCCUCUGUCUCUCUGGGGCAGGCUCAGAUCGCAGGCAGCUAGCUGCACAGCUUGGUGGCCUCCAUCUGUUUCAUUGGUUCUCUCAUGGAUGACCGAGGCUCAGCUUGAUCCAAAAUGUUCUCUAUGAUAAACAAGAGAGGAGGGAGAUGAAGGAAUUCAGACGUGUAAUCGGGUGGGGGCUUUCUUUCAAUGCCCAGGGCAUGGAGUGUCACCCCUCUCCUGCUAGCUCAUGCCUUAUCUUCCUCGCAUGACUCUUUAAAAACUCAGAAGAGCAGCUCUCUGAAUAAGAGGGGUUUGUUUUCCUAUGAUUUUACUGCCAAUGAAAGGUGUUUGCUUGAUGUGCCUGGAAACAAUGUUCUCCUACCGUGGAGCAGACACAGGAGCCCCAAGGGAGCACAUACCGCUUAACUGUUUGGCAGUCUCAGAGACAUCACUUGUUCUAGUGACAGAGCUCCCCGUCUGUCCGUGAGUACGUGUCGCCCCUGUACUUGUAUCGCUGAAAAGUACUUACCCCAGAAGUGCACUUAUGUAACCGAGAGCACAGAGUUAUAUGCUCCAAAGAAAUUAUACUUACAUUUAUAAUUAUACUUACAUUACCCUUAUUGCCUCUUGCUUGAAUCAUUUUAAAUCCCCCUAUUUGUGUCUUUUGUCAUAUGCUGCAACCCAAAUCUGAGCUGUUAGGGCAUUCAUCUUUUCCCACGGUGCUUUGUCUGCGUCUCAACCCUGCCUUGGCCAGACCAGGUCAAUAGAUAGAUUAGCCUCUAUGUCUAUGGCCUCAGAGGUAAUAAGUCAGUUUUACUCCCAGCCCAACACUAACCCACCAUGAACUCUACAGAGGCCACCAAACUCUUCACAUAGGGCAUAGCUCAGAUGGAUACAUUCCUACUUCAACAUAUUGGCCCCCAAGGAUCUGAGAGUCAGAUCUUUCCAGCUUCUGCUUGUUAUUAGUUGGCAAGUGGAAACUAAAGCAAAAGAUAUAAACAGGAAGGACUGCUCAAAGGGUUGGCUUCAUCCUACGAAAGUAGGCGGCAUGUUCUGUUGUAGCCAAGGCACUUGUCAUGCACAACACCUUAGCAAGUGAAAGAUCCACUCAUUACCCUCUGCAUUGCAACUUCAAAUGCGAGUGCCCCUACGUAAAGGAAAAUUAACACUACUUUGAGAAGAAGUCCUCCAUUCUUUGCAGUAUCAGUUCCCAACUCCCUCCUUAGCCCAACUCACCAAGUAGGCCAGGCUGGGUAAUGGCUGUCGCACUGUAGUCCAAGGUACUAUGAGCUUUAGUCUAGACUAAUCUCAUCACAUUUGUUUCACCUAUGACCAAAACUACAUGUGAACCCAGAUCAACAGCCAGGUUUUGAGUCCAGUUUCAAUGGCUGUCUCAAUACCAUGCGAUAGGCCUUGCAAUACUUGUGGCUGUUUUUUCUUUCUACCCGCUGUCAAGCUGUUCUCUUUGCAGCCUGUGACAUGGUGGAGGGAGGCAAAGACAGCUGAGCUCCACUAUCCACACACUUCAAACCCAAAUUUGUUGCUGUCAGGGGUCAGUUCAUCUCAUUUUCCUCAACUCCAUGUCCCUGGCUAUCCACUUGUGUGUGACCGGACCCAAGUGUGCCACUGGUAUCCCUCUUUAAAAAUGCUAAGGCCUCAAAAAUUCAUCACUCCCACUUUUAUUUUUCCAGCUAUUUACUUCCUUUGGGAACCAGGGGGAAGGCGCAUUCAGGCACAGACAAGCUUUCCUCUCUCAGGACAGCAUUUCAGGCUUUCACACAAAAGGGAUUUUUAAGCAAUCCAAGCACAAACAAUAAAACAAAAAUAUGCAAGAGUCAGUAUUUUUUGUGACUGGUGCAUGUGACAGUGAGAACUUGGUUCAUUGCCUAUUCUUGGGCUUAGAAAAAGUACAUCUUUAAGUUUACAGUGUUAUUGGCCCAACUACAAAGGAUAAAAUUCCCCUUAAGCCUUUGCCCAGGGCCUGAUGAUGAUUCCAAAAAUAAUAAAGACUCCUUGAGGUUGGAAACUCCAGUUCAGAGAGAUUUUGUUCGUGUUUUGUAAAUGAUACACAAAAAUUCAUCCAAAUGAAUGGAAAAUGCGUAAAAGGUUUGAACAUGAUGUAGUGAGCAAAACCAACACUAAGAUGGAAAUAAUUUACUUAAUUCUUUGCAAAGCGCCUGUCGUUUCCAGACAGCUGCUUGCGGGGUCUCUGCUGAUAACCCAUUGCCAGCUUGUGAGGUGAAACUUUAUGAAAGCAGAGAUUGCAGACAGUGCAUUGAGUUUUUGUGAGAAGGGAGAAGAGGGAAGGGGAAGAAGGAAAGAGAGGGGAAACAAACAGUUCCUACUUCUUCUUUUUCAGGGAGGAUAAUUGCGCUUAAAAUCUGAUCUUUCCCAGUAACAGGGUUGCUGAUUUCCAUAAGAGAUAAAAGUAUCUUUGGAGAGAAGAACUUAGGAAUUUCAGCCAGAUCCGUGUUGAUGUAUCAAGUCCAGGAUCCUGUUUCUUUGACAGUAGCCAGUACGUGGUUUUCAGAGACGAGCUCAAGAGGAAAGACCAUGAUGGAACAACUCGCUCGCAGGAAAGCUGCUUCUUGUGUCAAGUGUCCAUGCUCUGAAGCACGAGGACCUAUCCUGCUGAGCUCUUAGCCCCAAACAUACCAGCUGGCAAUGAAUUUUGCAGGCUAUCAGUAUGGGUAAUAAACCAUUCACUUUUGUUGCUUUCCAGUUUCGUUCAGUGUCUCAUCCUUUAUGGUGGGGGAAGAAGAGCACCCAGUAUAUCUUGUCAAUUUGUCAUCUGGCCUGCUCCUGUAGCACUUCAUAAAAUCACUUGUCUCAAAUCUUGUCCAUCAGAAAGAGCUGGUAUGGGCGGCUAACAUUAACCGUGGCUAAUUAUCUAUCAUAUCCAAGCUAUGAAAAAGUUAGUUAAUGAGAAAAAAACCUAUUCAUGAGACCGGCUCAACUGUGCAUCUGAGCCAGGCUGUUGGCUGAUAAUUCACCCUUAAUUUACCUGUCUUUCAGCGCUGGUAGAGCUGCAGUGCUACUAGUCAUGGUAGAAGUGUUGGCCAAGGCUGGUCCAGGCAUUUUUACCCUUGUGUUUUCAUACCACUAGAAAAAUACUUGGAUUCGGGGUGCUUCCGCCAGUGCUCAGCCUGGAGCAGGUGAGAAAAUACAGUGCGUGUGCUAAUGUGCACACAACCUGCAGCUCUGCUCCGGCAAGUUAUUGUGAACAGACAAACUCCCGAGUGUGCAGGGAGCCCCACUAAUUUCCGUAGCGCAUUCUGGGAUCGACUCAUGCUGACCAUCUUGCAGGCAGCUUGGACUUUGAUUCUAGGUCAUGUGUACAGCAAUCCCUACAGCCACAGAUCUGCAAGACAUGCCGGUGUCAAUGAUCAUCCUGAUUUCUUUAGGAACUUAAUUUCAGAAACACCCAAGUUCACUUAUUUUUUAAAUAAACAAAACCUUGGAUUUGGUUGCUCAUUAAUGCCACUUACAGCACAUAAAGUGUAUCGGGAUAAUUCCUGUGCUCAUUCAUUUGAGAGGAGCAGAAGUUGUAUAAUCCUCCUUGGUCACACAAAUUAUCCAGAAGAGAGUCUCUUUCAAAUGUAGUCAAUGUGCCGCUUUGGAUAAUGCUUCCCAUUUUUCUAACCAACAGAGAAUUACAUUUCUCAGCUAGAUUUUCUAAUGCAGAAGUCUGGCUGGCAUGUUUGUUUAGACAGUGAAACAAACCUCAAGAGACCAGAUUGUAGGACAAACAUGUUCUUAAAUAUUUUACAUUCAAAACAGCAAAAGCAUUUGAAAAGAACAGUGGAAAUGAGUGUUUAACCACGUUUAUGCUUUGUGUAUGGCAACAAAAAAACCGGCAUGCCAGUUAUCAUUUACUUUAGGAAAUGUUCUGGUAGUCACAGAUUCAACAGUGCCCACACAUAUACAAAGAAAAAGCAAUAGUGGGGGAAAAAAUGAUAAAUUGUUGCUAAGGUUAUUUGUUAGUAUUUCCCAAAUCUGACAUAGUCUGUGUAGGGCUUAAUAGUAUUAUCAGCUUUCAACACAUCUAUUUCAGUUUUCAUGUAUACUGGAGUUUGCAUAUCCACAUCGAGCAGAGUAUAGGAAAAUAGGCCACAGAGAAGUAGGGCUAGAAGGAACCUCAGAAAGUCAUCUAGACCAAGCCCCUCACACCCAAAAGGCCCAGGAUUUGGGCUCACUUUGAACUCAAGGUAUGAACCUCCUUGGCUGAAACAUCCUAAAAUGAUUUCUGGCCUGUUCCUACCAGGCGUAGUACCGGAAACAUUAAAAACACCCUUUAACUUGCCACAGGUGAAGCAGGGAGACAAGAGCACUAGGAAAGCAUUAACCCAAAGUUACCUUUAAUAACGCCCUGAGCAGCUUUACUGUACCUUAACAGGGUGCGUUCUUACCAGGCAAUAAAUACACUGCUAUUUUUUGUCACUUUUAAGAAACAAACCCUCUAAAUUUCUAACAUCUCUUUAUAAGCUGCCUCACUGCAACUCAGUCCAUCUCCCCUGUUUUCUUCUUUUAGUGGCCGGUAGAGGGUGCUGUUAAACUUGGCAAUGAUUUCACUUCUCAAAGGUCAACCAAACCCAGUAAUAAACCUAGUCCUGGUCCCUCCCUCACACCCAAAAGGCCCAGGAUUUGGGCUCACAUUGAACUCCUACCCUCCUGCUCAUCUAUCAGAUCAGCUAAGAGGACAGUCUUAUUUUACUGCCAAUUUAAAUCAUCUCACUUUAUCUUAAAACAGAUAACAGGGAUCAGAAGUUAUGCAGCUGCUGCCAAGCCUUGAGACAAACGCACAUAAGCGUGUGCUGAAGCCUCUGGACAAGAGGAACUCUGCCGAGACCUUGCAACUGGAAUAGAAACUCGGGCCUUUGGACCUGAUCAUGCCCCUCUGGUUCUGGCUCUGGGUUGGAUUUGAGGAGCCUGCCUUUAAGAUCCAGUGCGAUUACAACCUCAUGAUAUUGGGAUUCUCGUACAAACAGCUUUUCUCGUGAGCCAGCUGGCCACUAUAGUGCAACCUCAUAUGACAUUGCUGAGUUUGCCUUGUCUUGUCCUGAAAUCUCACAAAUGUCGCAAAGUGAGAACCCAGCUCUACGCCCGAGGUCAGGCUUUUGCCUCAGCUCCUCUGCCCCAUCUGAAAUGCUGACCCAAACCUAAUCCAGAGGCAAGUACCUCCGGCUUGGCUUCACUUUAAUGCCAAAUCACAGUCCCUAUUACGAUGCCCAGAAGGAAUUUCUGAGUUGUUAUCCCAAAGGUACAGCUUCCAGUAUUUCAAAGCCCUCUUCCCCAUUGCUCUCUGCAAAUUUUCUCAGUCUCCUAAUUCACUGUGUUAGCAAUGUAGUGCCUCUGAAAUGAAAGAUAUCGGAAAACUGCAAUGGCGGGGAAAUGAAUGGAGAGGGAAAAAGGCAGGUGAAGGGGGACCUGCUGCUCUUCAGCAAUGAUUCCUACUGUAUUGUGCUUUAAUGAGCAACACAAGCUGACUCUAAAGUGAGACUUGCACAACUCAGCUACCCCAUAAAAAGGUACUCAUAAGUAUAAUACUUUUCAGGUGAAAGAUGACUGGUACCAAGUUAUUAGCAGUAAUAGGAAAAUGAGACACACAAAAGCAAAAAGGCUCCUAAUGCCUGAAUGUGGAAAAUGGAAGGAGGGACACGUUAUAUACUGCAGCCUCCACCAGCUGGUAUUUAAAACAUCAAACAAACUUCAGCACACAGCUUUUGCUUAUUUGUAGCUCUCAUUCUUGGCUCGGGCUCAUCUGUUAGGGUAGACUUUGGCAGUUUAAAAUAUCAGGCAAUAAACUUCUCUUACUUGCA
Long non-coding RNA from Alligator mississippiensis (American alligator), 12138 nucleotides. RefSeq lists it as uncharacterized. Lineage: Eukaryota; Metazoa; Chordata; Crocodylia; Alligatoridae. The record is from RefSeq and is a predicted model, not a curated record. The transcript has 2 exons.